UACGAAGGGGGCUAGCGUUGUUCGGAAUUACUGGGCGUAAAGGGCGCGUAGGCGGCCUUCUAAGUCGAACGUGAAAUCCCCGGGCUCAACCCGGGAACUGCGUCCGAUACUGGAAGGCUUGAAUCCGGGAGAGGGAUGCGGAAUUCCAGGUGUAGCGGUGAAAUGCGUAGAUAUCUGGAGGAACACCGGUGGCGAAGGCGGCAUCCUGGACCGGCAUUGACGCUGAGGCGCGAAAGCCAGGGGAGCAAAGCGGG
Molecule: ribosomal RNA, 254 nt
Filed under: uncultured bacterium
Lineage: Bacteria
Description: partial 16S ribosomal RNA
Rfam family: Bacterial small subunit ribosomal RNA
Source: RNAcentral